UACGAAGGGUGCAAACGUUGCUCGGAAUUAUUGGGCGUAAAGCGCACGUAGGCGGCCUUGCAAGUCCCAUGUGAAAGCCCACGGCUUAACCGUGGAAGUGCAUGGGAAACUGCAGUGCUUGAGUACUUAAGAGGAUCGCGGAAUUCCCGGUGUAGAGGUGAAAUUCGUAGAUAUCGGGAGGAACACCAGUGGCGAAGGCGGCGAUCUGGGAAGAUACUGACGCUGAGACGCGAAAGCGUGGGGAGCGAACAGG
This 253-nucleotide ribosomal RNA is filed under the name uncultured bacterium. Its description in RNAcentral is "partial 16S ribosomal RNA". It matches the Rfam family "Bacterial small subunit ribosomal RNA", at positions 524 to 776 of the family's 1533-position model. The record is from RNAcentral.